AAGUCGUAACAAGGUUUCCGUAGGUGAACCUGCGGAAGGAUCAUUAACACGUAUCCAACGUUAAACCCCCCUGUGAACUUUUAUACUUGCUCUCUUAACUGACGGAAUUGCAAUCCCUGGUAAAUCAUUGUUGAACAGAUUUUGAUUCAGGGACCUCAGUUUGGCAGUUAGGAUUGAGCGAUCGUUGCAAGUGGCCUGGUUUCCCCAAGCAGUCAGUGUCUGAAAGUGGCAUUGAUUGUGUAAGGAUAACGCUUUUCGAUCACUAGAGGCCGACACCGGCCGGUGACCAGGUCGCCGUGGCUCCCCACUGCCUGAUUCCGCCUCGUAGGAAACUGCUGGGCAACAAAACGAACAACUGUUAACAAUGGAUAUCUUGGUUCUC
Molecule: unclassified non-coding RNA, 382 nt
Filed under: fungal sp.
Lineage: Eukaryota; Fungi
Description: partial internal transcribed spacer region
Rfam family: Eukaryotic small subunit ribosomal RNA (bases 1-46)
Source: RNAcentral